AGUUCGAUCAUGGCCUAGAUUGAACGCUGGCGGGAUGUUUAUGUUAUGCAAGUCGAACGGCACGGACUCUCGGUCCGGUGGCGAGUGGCGAACGGGGUAGUAAUGUAUCGGAACGUGCUCAGGAGGAUAACUACGCCAAAGCAGCUAAUACUGCAUACGUUCUCUGGGGGAAAGCGGGACCUUCGGCCUCGCAAUUAGAGUGGCCGAUAUCGAUUAGCUAGUUGGUGGGGUAACGGCUCACCAAGGCGACGAUCCGUAGCUGGUUUGAGGACGACCAGCCACACUGACUGGAGACACGGCCCAGACUCCUACGGAGUGCGGGGAAUUUUGGACAAUGGGAACUCCUGAUCCAGCCAUCCCGCGUGCGAUGAAGGCCUUCGGGCUGUAAAGCACUUUUGGCAGGAAGAAACGGCACGGGAUAAUACCCCGUGCAACUGAUUUGCACUCCAGAAUAAGCACCGGCUAACUACGUGCCAGCAGCCGCGGUAAUACGUAGGUGCAAGCGUUAACGGAAUUACUGGGCGUAAAGCGUGCGCAGGCGUUCGGAAAGAAAGAUGAAAUCCCAGAGCUUAACUUUGGAACUGCAUUUUUAACUACCGAGCUGGAGUGUGUCAGAGGGAGGUGGAAUUCCGCGUAGCAGGAAUGCGUAGAUAUGCGGAGGAAACACUCCUGAUGGCGAAGGCAGCCUGGGAUAACACUGACGCUCAUGCACGAAAGCGUGGGGAGCAAACAGAUUAGAUACCCUGGUAGUCCACGCCCUAAACGAUGUCAACUAGCUGUUGGGGCCUUCGGGCCUUGGUAGCGCAGCAUCGGGUGAAGUUGACCGCCUGGGGAGGCUUUGGUCGCAAGAUUAAAACUCAAAGGAAUUGACGGGACCCGCAGCUGGGGCGGCGUGGAUGAUGUGAUUAAUUCGAUGCAACGCGCGAAACCUACCUACCCUUGACAUGUCUGGAAUCCCGAAGAGAUUUGGAGUGCGCCGCAAGAGGAACCGGAACACAGGUGUUGCAUGUAUGCCGUCAGCUCGUGUCGUGAGAUGUUGCUGCGUCCCGGCAACGAGCGCAACCCUUGUCAUUAGUUGCUGUCGGAAAGGGCACUCUAAUGAUCGUUAUGACAAACCGGAGGAAGGUGGGGAUGACGUCAAGUCCUCAUGGCCCUUAUGGUGAAUGCAAUACUGUCAUAAUGGUCGGGACAGAGGGUCGCCACCCGCGAGGGGGAGCCAAUCCCAGAAACCCGAUCGUAGUCCGGAUCGCAGUCUGCAACCUGACUGCAGGAAGUCGGAAUCGCUAAAAAUCGCGGAUCAGCAUGUCGCGGUGAAUACGUUCCUCGGUCUUGUACACACCGCCCGUCACACCAUGGUGGAGUGGGUUUUACCAGAAGUAGUUAGCUCAACCGUGUAGUGAGGGCGAUUACCACGGUAGGAUUCAUGACUGGGGUGAAGUCGUAACAAGGCAA
RNAcentral lists this ribosomal RNA (1452 nucleotides) under uncultured Bordetella sp. RNAcentral describes it as "partial 16S-23S ribosomal RNA intergenic spacer". It matches the Rfam family "Bacterial small subunit ribosomal RNA". The record is from RNAcentral. Lineage: Bacteria; Pseudomonadati; Pseudomonadota; Betaproteobacteria; Burkholderiales; Alcaligenaceae.